RNAcentral lists this ribosomal RNA (481 nucleotides) under uncultured bacterium. Its description in RNAcentral is "bacterial SSU rRNA". It matches the Rfam family "Bacterial small subunit ribosomal RNA", at positions 28 to 507 of the family's 1533-position model. The record is from RNAcentral.
GACGAACGCUGGCGGCGUGCUUAACACAUGCAAGUCGAACGGAGUUACGUAUGAAGUAUUUCGGUACGGACUAUGUAACUUAGUGGCGAACGGGUGAGUAACACGUGGGCAACCUGCCCUUAACCGGGGGAUAACAUUGUGAAAACAGUGCUAAUACCGCAUAACAGAGUAUCGGGCAUCCGAUAUUUUUAAAAGGAGCAAUCCGGUUUAGGAUGGGCCCGCGUCCAAUUAGCUAGUUGGUGAGGUAACGGCUCACCAAGGCUACGAUUGGUAGCCGAACUGAGAGGUUGAUCGGCCACAUUGGGACUGAGACACGGCCCAGACUCCUACGGGAGGCAGCAGUGGGGAAUAUUGGGCAAUGGGCGAAAGCCUGACCCAGCGACGCCGCGUGAAGGAUGAAGGUCUUCGGAUUGUAAACUUCUUUGAUCAGGGAAGAAAGAAAAUGACGGUACCUGAAGAACAAGCCACGGCUAACUACGUG